Molecule: ribosomal RNA, 546 nt
Filed under: uncultured bacterium
Lineage: Bacteria
Description: bacterial SSU rRNA
Rfam family: Bacterial small subunit ribosomal RNA
Source: RNAcentral
AAUAGAUACCCCGGUAGUCCACGCCGUAAACGUUGGGCACUAGGUGUGGGGUCUAUUCAACGGACUCCGUGCCGUCGCUAACGCAUUAAGUGCCCCGCCUGGGGAGUACGGCCGCAAGGCUAAAACUCAAAGGAAUUGACGGGGGCCCGCACAAGCAGCGGAGCAUGUUGCUUAAUUCGAGGCAACGCGAAGAACCUUACCUGGGUUUGACAUGUAGAGAAAAGCCAUAGAGAUAUGGUGUCCUUCGGGGUUCGUACACAGGUGGUGCAUGGUUGUCGUCAGCUCGUGUCGUGAGAUGUUGGGUUAAGUCCCGCAACGAGCGCAACCCUUGUCCUAUGUUGCCAGCACGUCAUGGUGGGGACUCGUAGGAGACUGCCGGGGUCAACUCGGAGGAAGGUGGGGACGACGUCGAAAUCGAUCAUGCCCCUUAUAUCCAGGGCUGCAAACAUGCUACAAUGGCCGGUACAAAGGGCUGCGAAACCGCGAGGUGGAGCGAAUCCCAUAAACGCCGGUCUCAGUUCGGAUUGGAGUCUGCAACUCGACUCC